ACUGAAGAAAGAGGACCUGUUAUAUAACCAGGGUCAAGUUCUGUAAUCGCAGAAAGACCGCUAUCAGGCCGCGACUUGCAUUCAGGAUGGUCUGUUUGAUUGUAAGGAUCAAGUAGCAUACACUUGAGCCAACAAUUUACAGCAGAAAGAAGUUUCGUGCUGUCGAGCCAGACGAGGUCAAGAGGGUUAAAAUCCAGAGGAGAAUAAGGGCAGUCGAGGAAAGACCAAGCUCU
This 233-nucleotide unclassified non-coding RNA is filed under the name Hevea brasiliensis (rubber tree). Lineage: Eukaryota; Viridiplantae; Streptophyta; Magnoliopsida; Malpighiales; Euphorbiaceae. The record is from RNAcentral.